AGGAUUGUGUGGCUGACAUGGUGACGGCAGAUGACUCAGGCUUGCUGUGUAUCUGGCGGUCAGGGCCAGAAUUCACAUUAUUGACCCGCAUUCCAGGAUUUGGGUAGGUGAGGCAGAAAGGGUAGAGGGCUUCCUGAGAUAGCUUCAGGCUGGGGAGUAGGAUUUGAUUUGGGCAAAACAUAGUUGGGUGUCACCCUUGCAGAGUUCCGUGCCCCUCUGUGCAGCUGUGGCAGGGGAUCAUAGCAGCAGGCUAUGGGAACGGACAAGUGCAUCUGUAUGAGGCCACUACAGGAAAUCUACAUGUCCAGAUCAAUGCCCAUGCCCGGGCCAUCUGCGCCCUGGACCUGGCUUCUGAGGUGGGCAAGCUACUCUCUGCAGGUGAGGACACCUUUGUGCAUAUCUGGAAGCUGAGCAGAAACCCAGAGAGUGGCUACAUUGAGGUAUGUGUCAUGGGGUGGGUGGAAUGGGGGGGCCCAAGCAUGGGGCAGCAGGCCCUGACGAGCCCUCUGCUCCCCCAGGUGGAACACUGUCAUGGUGAGUGUGUCUCCGACACCCAGCUGUGUGGUGCUCGAUUUUGUGAUUCCUCAGGCAACUCCUUUGCUGUGACUGGCUAUGACCUUGCGGAGAUCCGGAGAUUCAGCAGUGUGUGAGAAGAGCAGCCUUCCUUUGUCCCUGUGGUAUUCAUAAAGUACCCGCUCCACCCA
Molecule: small RNA, 704 nt
Filed under: Pan troglodytes (chimpanzee)
Lineage: Eukaryota; Metazoa; Chordata; Mammalia; Primates; Hominidae
Description: retained intron
Source: RNAcentral